GGCCCCACCCCUCAGGUCAAGCCUGGAGGAAAGCCUCCCCCGGUGAGAAAGCAAAAAGGGAAGCCCUGGAGUCCGGUGAAAGCCAGCUGUCAGAUGGAGAGCCCUAGCACAAAAAAGGGUCACUUACCUCUUGGUGCAGGAGAGUAUGUUGCAGCGGUUUGGUGGUCCUGCCUAGUUGCCUUCCUGGAAAACUCCCUCAACCUGUCAGAGUGAGAGGCAAAUUGUGGCAAGCCACUCGAGAAAGAGAUCAGGUGAGUAUUCUGCAGGUGUGGGCUGCACUGUUACCACACCUGGGCUACGCCACCCUUAUUACAAGCCUAAACAUACAACUUUCACCCUUACUCUCAGAUGUCAUAUGGGGACAAACCCUGCAAGGGCUUAAGGACAGCUG
This 391-nucleotide long non-coding RNA is filed under the name Sarcophilus harrisii (Tasmanian devil). Its description in RNAcentral is "lncRNA (ENSSHAG00000028865.1)". The record is from RNAcentral. Lineage: Eukaryota; Metazoa; Chordata; Mammalia; Dasyuromorphia; Dasyuridae.